Molecule: ribosomal RNA, 329 nt
Filed under: uncultured eukaryote
Lineage: Eukaryota
Description: partial 18S ribosomal RNA
Rfam family: Eukaryotic small subunit ribosomal RNA
Source: RNAcentral
CCCUUAGAUGUUCUGGGCCGCACGCGCGCUACACUGAUGCAUUCGACGAGUCUAAAACCUGCUCUGAUAGGGGUGGGUAAUCUUUUGAAUGUGCAUCGUGAUUGGGAUAGAUGAUUGCAAUUUUUCAUCUUCAACGAGGAAUGCCUAGUAAACGCAAGUCAUCAGCUUGCAUUGAUUACGUCCCUGCCCUUUGUACACACCGCCCGUCGCUCCUACCGAUUGAAUGAUCCGAUGAAUAUCAUGGAUUGAGGAUGCAAGUAGGUUAGCCUAUCUUCAUCUUCGAGAAGUGAAGUAAAUCUUAUCAUUUAGAGGAAGGAGAAGUCGUAACA